GACGAACGCUGGCGGCGUGCCUAAUACAUGCAAGUAGAACGCUGAAGGAGGAGCUUGCUUCUCUGGAUGAGUUGCGAACGGGUGAGUAACGCGUAGGCAACCUGCCUGGUAGCGGGGGAUAACUAUUGGAAACGAUAGCUAAUACCGCAUAAGAGUAGAUGUUGCAUGACAUUUGCUUAAAAGGUGCAAUUGCAUCACUACCAGAUGGACCUGCGUUGUAUUAGCUAGUUGGUGGGGUAACGGCUUACCAAGGCGACGAUACAUAGCCGACCUGAGAGGGUGAUCGGCCACGCUGGGACUGAGACACGGCCCAGACUCCUACGGGAGGCAGCAGUAGGGAAUCUUCGGCAAUGGACGGAAGUCUGACCGAGCAACGCCGCGUGAGGGAAGAAGGUUUUCGGAUCGUAAAGCUCUGUUGUAAGAGAAGAACGAGUGUGAGAGUGGAAAGUUCACACUGUGACGGUAUCUUACCAGAAAGGGACGGCUAACUACGUG
Molecule: ribosomal RNA, 495 nt
Filed under: uncultured bacterium
Lineage: Bacteria
Description: partial 16S ribosomal RNA
Rfam family: Bacterial small subunit ribosomal RNA
Source: RNAcentral